RNAcentral lists this ribosomal RNA (224 nucleotides) under uncultured bacterium. Its description in RNAcentral is "partial 16S ribosomal RNA". It matches the Rfam family "Bacterial small subunit ribosomal RNA", at positions 96 to 334 of the family's 1533-position model. The record is from RNAcentral.
UGGCGGACGGGUGAGUAACGCGUAGGUAUCUAUCCUUGGGUGGGGGGACAACUGUGGGAAACUACAGCUAAUACCGCAUGAUAACUGAGGUUUAAAGGCGCAAGUCGCCUGAGGAGGAGCCUGCGUACGAUUAGCUAGUUGGUGGGGUAAAGGCCUACCAAGGCGACGAUCGUUAGCUGGUCUGAGAGGAUGAUCAGCCACAUUGGGACUGAGACACGGCCCAA